UGGGGAAUAUUGCGCAAUGGGGGAAACCCUGACGCAGCAACGCCGCGUGAAGGAAGAAGGCUUUCGGGUUGUAAACUUCUUUGAUUAGGGACGAAAAAAAUGACGGUACCUAAAAAACAAGCCACGGCUAACUACGUGCCAGCAGCCGCGGUAAUACGUAGGUGGCAAGCGUUGUCCGGAAUUACUGGGUGUAAAGGGCGUGUAGGCGGGAAUAUAAGUCAGAUGUGAAAUUCCCAGGCUCAACUUGGGAGCUGCAUCUGAAACUAUAUUUCUUGAGUACUGGAGAGGAAAGUGGAAUUCCUAGUGUAGCGGUGAAAUGCGUAGAUAUUAGGAGGAACACCAGUGGCGAAGGCGACUUUCUGGACAGUAACUGACGCUGAGGCGCGAAAGCGUGGGGAGCAAACAGG
RNAcentral lists this ribosomal RNA (407 nucleotides) under uncultured bacterium. Its description in RNAcentral is "bacterial SSU rRNA". It matches the Rfam family "Bacterial small subunit ribosomal RNA", at positions 355 to 776 of the family's 1533-position model. The record is from RNAcentral.